UUUCCUUUUUUUUUUUUGUUUUUCGACGGAACACACGAUUAUUAUUUGGUCUGUUUUCUGGUAUGCGUAUUUUUGUUCUUUUCUUCAAGCGGUCUCUUUCUAAUUCUAAUAAGUAGUGUAUUACUAUAUGCUAGAAAAAUAUGUUUCCUAAAAUUGAUGUGAUUUCACAAUUGAAUUUAGGGGUUAGCCGGAAGGACCUCUCCAUUCUGGCAGAACAUAGUUUAUUGAUGAAUUUACUUUGGAGACUUUUUGAGGGCCAGCCUGAGAGCCUAAAAAUUGCGACCCUGGUUAUGACUGUAAAUAAAAAGAGUUAGAGGGACCAGAAUGCAACAAUAACUGUGUCGCAAACAUCGCGGAAGUCCAACGAGAAAAAAAAAAAAAA
RNAcentral lists this unclassified non-coding RNA (382 nucleotides) under Hevea brasiliensis (rubber tree). The record is from RNAcentral. Lineage: Eukaryota; Viridiplantae; Streptophyta; Magnoliopsida; Malpighiales; Euphorbiaceae.